GAUGAACGCUGGCGGCGUGCCUAAUACAUGCAAGUCGAGCGAACAGACGAGGAGCUUGCUCCUCUGACGUUAGCGGCGGACGGGUGAGUAACACGUGGAUAACCUACCUAUAAGACUGGGAUAACUUCGGGAAACCGGAGCUAAUACCGGAUAAUAUAUUGAACCGCAUGGUUCAAUAGUGAAAGACGGUUUUGCUGUCACUUAUAGAUGGAUCCGCGCCGCAUUAGCUAGUUGGUAAGGUAACGGCUUACCAAGGCAACGAUGCGUAGCCGACCUGAGAGGGUGAUCGGCCACACUGGAAGUGAGAAACGGUCCAGACUCCGACGGGAGGCAGCAGUAGGGAAUCUUCCGCAAUGGGCGAAAGAUUGACGGAGCAACGCCGCGUGAGUGAUGAAGGUCUUCGGAUCGUAAAACUCUGUUAUUAGGGAAGAACAAAUGUGUAAGUAACUAUGCACGUCUUGACGGUACCUAAUCAGAAAGCCACGGCUAACUACGU
Molecule: ribosomal RNA, 496 nt
Filed under: uncultured bacterium
Lineage: Bacteria
Description: partial 16S ribosomal RNA
Rfam family: Bacterial small subunit ribosomal RNA
Source: RNAcentral